This 71-nucleotide transfer RNA is filed under the name Cordylochernes scorpioides. RNAcentral describes it as "tRNA-Ser". It matches the Rfam family "tRNA". From Rfam's summary of the family: Transfer RNA (tRNA) molecules are approximately 80 nucleotides in length. Their secondary structure includes four short double-helical elements and three loops (D, anti-codon, and T loops). The record is from RNAcentral. Lineage: Eukaryota; Metazoa; Arthropoda; Arachnida; Pseudoscorpiones; Chernetidae.
ACAUCGGUGGUUCAGUGGUUGAAUGCUCGCCUGCUACGCGGGCGGCCCGGGUUCGAUUCCCGGCCGAUGCA